CGGCGGACGGGUGAGUAAUGCCUAGGAAUCUGCCUGGUAGUGGGGGACAACGUUUCGAAAGGAACGCUAAUACCGCAUACGUCCUACGGGAGAAAGCAGGGACCUUCGGGCCUUGCGCUAUCAGAUGAGCCUAGGUCGGAUUAGCUAGUUGGUGAGGUAAUGGCUCACCAAGGCGACGAUCCGUAACUGGUCUGAGAGGAUGAUCAGUCACACUGGAACUGAGACACGGUCCAGACUCUACGGGAGGCAGCAGUG
This 255-nucleotide ribosomal RNA is filed under the name uncultured Pseudomonas sp. RNAcentral describes it as "partial 16S ribosomal RNA". It matches the Rfam family "Bacterial small subunit ribosomal RNA", at positions 96 to 356 of the family's 1533-position model. Lineage: Bacteria; Pseudomonadati; Pseudomonadota; Gammaproteobacteria; Pseudomonadales; Pseudomonadaceae. The record is from RNAcentral.